CAAGUCGACGGAAAGUGCCCCUUUGGGGGUGACUCGAGUGGCGAACGGGUGAGUAACACGUGGGUGAUCUGCCCUGCACUUUGGGAUAAGCCUGGGAAACUGGGUCUAAUACCGGAUAUACCCUGCUGGUCGCAUGGCCUGGUGGGGGAAAGCUUUUGCGGUGUGGGAUGGGCCCGCGGCCUAUCAGCUUGUUGGUGGGGUGAUGGCCUACCAAGGCGACGACGGGUAGCCGGCCUGAGAGGGUGUCCGGCCACACUGGGACUGAGAUACGGCCCAGACUCCUACGGGAGGCAGCAGUGGGGAAUAUUGCACAAUGGGCGCAAGCCUGAUGCAGCGACGCCGCGUGGGGGAUGACGGCCUUCGGGUUGUAAACCUCUUUCAGCAUCGACGAAGCGCAAGUGACGGUAGAUGCAGAAGAAGCACCGGCCAACUACGUGCCAGCAGCCGCGGUAAUACGUAGGGUGCGAGCGUUGUCCGGAAUUACUGGGCGUAAAGAGCUCGUAGGUGGUUUGUCGCGUUGUUCGUGAAAACUCACAGCUUAACUGUGGGCGUGCGGGCGAUACGGGCAGACUGGAGUACUGCAGGGGAGACUGGAAUUCCUGGUGUAGCGGUGGAAUGCGCAGAUAUCAGGAGGAACACCGGUGGCGAAA
Molecule: ribosomal RNA, 650 nt
Filed under: Mycolicibacterium moriokaense
Lineage: Bacteria; Bacillati; Actinomycetota; Actinomycetes; Mycobacteriales; Mycobacteriaceae
Description: bacterial SSU rRNA
Rfam family: Bacterial small subunit ribosomal RNA
Source: RNAcentral